This 238-nucleotide ribosomal RNA is filed under the name uncultured bacterium. RNAcentral describes it as "partial 16S ribosomal RNA". It matches the Rfam family "Bacterial small subunit ribosomal RNA", at positions 96 to 334 of the family's 1533-position model. The record is from RNAcentral.
CGGCGGACGGGUGAGUAACGCGUGGGUAACCUGCCUCAUACAGGGGGAUAACAGUUAGAAAUGACUGCUAAUACCGCAUAAGACCACGGUACCGCAUGGUACAGUGGUAAAAACUCCGGUGGUAUGAGAUGGACCCGCGUUGGAUUAGCUUGUUGGUGGGGUAACGGCCCACCAAGGCGACGAUCCAUAGCCGGCCUGAGAGGGUGAACGGCCACAUUGGGACUGAGACACGGCCCAG